AUGGAGGCAACUCUGAACCAGCCAUGCCGCGUGCAUGAUGACUGGUCCUAUGGAUUGUAUAACUGCUUAUUGUACAGGAAGAAACCUCCCUACGAGUACCGGACUUGACGGUACUGUAAGUAAUAAUGGAUCGGCUAACUCCGUGCCAGCAGCCGCGGUAAUACGUGAUGGAUCCGAGCGUUGAUCCGGAAUUAUUGGGUUCUAAAGGGUUCGUAAUGCGGCGUGUGAUAAGUCAGUGGUGAAAUCUUCCUAGCUUAACUAGGACACUGCCAUUGAUACUGCAGNAACUUGAAUAAUAUGGAAGUAACUAGAAUAUGUAGUGUAGCGGUGAAAUGCUUAGAUAUUACAUGGAAUACCAAUUGCGAAGGCAGGUUACUACGUAUUUAUUGACGCUGAUGAACGAAAGCGUGGGGAGCGAACAGGAUUAGAUACCCUGGUAGUCCACGCCGUAAACGAUGGAUACUAGCUGUUCGGUUUUCGGACUGAGUGGCUAAGCGAAAGUGAUAAGUAUCCCACCUGGGGAGUACGUNCGCAAGAAUGAAACUCAAAGGAAUUGACGGGGGCCCGCACAAGCGGUGGAGCAUGUGGUUUAAUNCGAUGAUACGCGAGGAACCU
This 615-nucleotide ribosomal RNA is filed under the name bacterium T-1-48-2E. RNAcentral describes it as "bacterial SSU rRNA". It matches the Rfam family "Bacterial small subunit ribosomal RNA", at positions 371 to 971 of the family's 1533-position model. The record is from RNAcentral.